This 460-nucleotide ribosomal RNA is filed under the name uncultured bacterium. RNAcentral's name for it is "partial 16S ribosomal RNA". It matches the Rfam family "Bacterial small subunit ribosomal RNA", at positions 338 to 795 of the family's 1533-position model. The record is from RNAcentral.
CCUACGGGCGGCAGCAGUGAGGAAUAUUGGUCAAUGGACGUAAGUCUGAACCAGCCAUGCCGCGUGCAGGAAGACGGCCCUAUGAGUUGUAAACUGCUUUUAUACAAGGGUAAACUUGAAUACGUGUAUUCUGCUGAAAGUACUGUAUGAAUAAGGAUCGGCUAACUCCGUGCCAGCAGCCGCGGUAAUACGGAGGAUCCGAGCGUUAUCCGGAUUUAUUGGGUUUAAAGGGAGCGUAGGCGGGUUGUUAAGUCAGUUGUGAAAGUUUGCGGCUCAACCGUAAAAUUGCAAUUGAUACUGGCAGUCUUGAGUGCAGUUGAGGUAGGCGGAAUUCGUGGUGUAGCGGUGAAAUGCUUAGAUAUCACGAAGAACUCCGAUUGCGAAGGCAGCUUACUGAACUUCAACUGACGCUGAUGCUCGAAAGUGUGGGUAUCAAACAGGAUUAGAUACCCUUGUAGUC